Molecule: long non-coding RNA, 416 nt
Organism: Zonotrichia leucophrys gambelii
Lineage: Eukaryota; Metazoa; Chordata; Aves; Passeriformes; Passerellidae
Exons: 4
Source: RefSeq, a predicted model, not a curated record
CUAUAUCUGCACCCCUGUCUAAUCUGCUUGAACUAGUUUUGCCCCAGACAGAUGAAAAACAAAGAACUUGCCAAAGAGUGUAAGAUCUGUCCAAGAAGCAAGAUGAAUUGCUCGUCUCUGGGCCACCAGUAGGAUCAGAAGCAGACAAUAAAUGGUUCUAGGCAACACCCCUUUUCUCACAUGGAAGAGUGAUCCCUUUAAUGGGAUUAAAGAGAAGAUGUCAUUUCCUGCUUCCAUGCCUGAAAGUGAGAGAAUUGUUAAUUGGUCUUCAUUAAAACACAGAGCCAAGUCCUCUGCAUUCCACCCACUGUGUAAUACUGAGAAGAAAACACUCCCAGCACUGGAACCCACGUGUGUGUGCUAAAUAACAACACCACUCCUCUAUAUGAUGUACCAGAUAUUCCUUACACAAAACU